This is a long non-coding RNA of Antechinus flavipes (yellow-footed antechinus), 2770 nucleotides long. RefSeq lists it as uncharacterized. The record is from RefSeq and is a predicted model, not a curated record. The transcript has 2 exons. Lineage: Eukaryota; Metazoa; Chordata; Mammalia; Dasyuromorphia; Dasyuridae.
GACAAAGGCAAGGGGGGGGGAGAAGAGGCAGAGGAGACAGAGAUGGAAAGGGAGACGAAGAACAAAGUCACCAGAUUACUUCUUGCCAAGACAAACUGAACCUCAGAGUUUUCCUUUACUUAUCUCUCUACCUCAAAAAGGGGCUGAAAAUGCAGGAGCCCAGAGUAUGGAGGAGGGUGGGAAGUAGGAAGGGGGUGUCUGGCACCGAUGACAAUUUCCAGCGGGGUGCGCCUAUAGUACUGACGACUGAGCUGUGGGGUUUAUGAUCCCGGCUGUUAUUAGGAGUAUUAACCAUGCCCAUAAUGCUCUCUCUUUUUUCACUGGUUCCUAGCUCGGUGGCUGUAAAGGCCUUUCCACGCAAGCAGAGGAGGAAAGAUAGGAAACUGAUCCGGGAGGGGGAGUCCCCCCUGAAGCCUGUCGGAGGGAGGAGAAACCCCGGGGAGAGAGCAGAUGGGGGACCUCCAAAAAGGCCCCAGCCUGGGGAAAGGAAAUCCUCUCCGCCCAGGGCACCGGUCGGCCUUUCCAUCGGAUCUCCCUAAGAAAGUCCUCAGUAUCCCGGAGCCUCAUCCUGAAAGAGCCCAAAGGCCGCCGAGGUCAGCAGGGUGUCAGACGCUGCCCCUACCCCCCUGCCCCACCUUCCACCUCGGCACUUUUCAAAGAGUAUUAGAAAUGGGCAAAUUAUGACCUUUCAGCUACAAGGCUAAGGAAAUUCCGGCCUCCAAUUUCUCCCCCGCUCGGCCCCAAGUCAAGGACGCACCGGGGUACGCUUCUUUCCCAGUCCCAGAAAAUUAGGUCUCGAGCCUCGCUCCAGCUUUGGAAAAGCAAAGUUCUGCCUGACUGAGAUCGACUACUGGGGGUGGGGUGGGUGGGGAAGCUAAGCAGAAACAUUCAGAGAAAUUGUCCUGGCCGCUUCCGGAAAAGGCCGGCCCCAAGACUUACUCUUUAUUCGCCUUUUCCAAGAAAGUCUUUCAAGAAUUCUCUGAUUUCUUCGACUCGGAUUCCCGUUCUUCUUUGUCUCUCUCCGUCUUGCGUUCUUUUUCUUCUUUCUUUUCCUUUCAUUUUUCUCUCUUUUUUAACCUUUCUUCCUACCUCUUUACCUUUCUUCCUCUCUGGCUCUCUUUUGCCUCUACUUCCUUUCUUUCCCUUCAUUUCUCCUUUUUCUCCUAUUUUUUUUUAUAUUCCUUUUCUCCCUCUCUCCUUGCUUUCUUUCCCUAUCUUAAUCUUUCCCUUUUUCCUUCCCUUUUCUUCCUUCGUGCUUUUGCUUUCUUUCUCUUUCUUCUCUUUAGACCACCUUUUUUUUUAUUUUCUGUCUUUUUUGUGUGUUCUUUCGUCAUUUUUUCCUCUUUCAUUUUUUCUAUCUUUCUCUUUCUCCGUCUUCCAACGACUAAGAUUUUUUUUAUGCUCGAGAAGUCUCUUUCCCGGGUCUCGCUCCACUCCUAUUUUUUUUAGCUUGUUGUUGAUCAAAUAAAACAAUUAAACUUCUACCUACUCACUUUUCUUUCCCUGUCCACCAACUCACUUUUCUGUGCCGGACCACCGAUUCACUUUUCUAUCCCGGCAUCCUUGGGGUUCUAGUGUGAAACCCUGCGCCAGAUUCUCCUUCCGUGUCCUCCUCCCCGUCCCUUCCCUAGUGACACCCUCCUCUUAGUCUAGCCUUUUGGUACUUGAGAAUUCACUUAACUUUUAUUUUCUUUUUUUCCGGGCCAGAAGGUAGGCCUUGAUUUAAACGAUAAAGAUGAAAAGGAGAGGAUAGUUCCUGGUUACAAAGGACUCUCUCUAAAUCUCUGAUAGAGCUUUUCCUUGAAUUGUUAGAAGGAAAUUAAGAAGUAAUGCUCUAAGGCGGCAAAGAGGAAAUCAACCACUUUAUCAACCGAGUUGAACCGCUAUAUAGGGGGAAAGGCAGAUAGGAGUGAAAAGGGUAAUAUGCGAAUGUCAAGGACCAGACUAACACGUCCCUGGAAGAGGAAGGCCUGAGCACCCACUGACAAGGAAGCUUGUAGUGUAAUGGGUGGGUUAGUGGAGCUUCUAAGCGUGAGGCCUCUGAAUAGUCCACCCAAAGAUGCCGGGCUGAGCCCGCCGAGAUCCAUCGAGAUAUGUCGCUAAUAAUCACACCGAGAAGCCCAAAGGCCGCACAGAAGGCAGCCAAGGCCUGCGAUCUAAGUCGCCGGGGGCUCGGUUUCGGCUCUAAAAGUGGCUAGCGAAGGCGGAGAAUUGGAUCGGAAUGGAGACCCGGGCUCGGAGUCUUGAGAUCGAAAGGGAGCAGAAGCCCAGAGAGUCCGCAACCUGGACCAAAGGUUCCUCCUUCUGCUCCCACCCACUCCCAGUAAUAUUGAGCUGCCAGUAUUAGAAGACCCUCGGAUUCAGCAGCCGCUUUCCUCUUAGUUCGAUGGACCACUGGGACCCAUCCCCUCGAUGUGUCCUACUUUCUCCUCGCCCAAUUGAAAAAGACUAGAAAACGUGUUUUAGUGGGAAGAUCCCUAGAUUUCGAAUUCGGAGGUUUCCAGUCUACUUAGUAGUUGUGUGACCCCUGACAAAUCCUUUCAUCCCCUCUGAGUCUCUUUUGCCUUUCCUCUAGUGCUGCGUCCCACAUCCCACAAUCAAGCACACACCUAUAGUGGGAUGAGUGGUCAGCGGGAAUUGUAUCCAGCCCAUCCUUCAAGCCCCCGUCCCCAUCUCGCCUUACCCUGUGUUCACCCCAAGGACCCAGACCCCAGACAGGAUCCAGGGACCUAAACAAGGAUGUAAAUUAAAAUUUACAUCACAAGCUAAA